UUUUUUUUUGCCCCCGUCGGUCAAUUUGCGACCCCCCUUGGCGUCGGGCUCGGAACGAGCUUUCCGGAACGUACUCACGGGCCCCGUGAGUCCAUCGGGAUCGAAAGUUGGGCGCGUGAACGCGGAGACGGGCGGAUUCCGUUAAUUGAGAAAUUAACUUUUCUCGUGUUCCGUCGUAUGUGAGCAGGGCCCCGUCGAUUGAACGGAAAUUGCGCGAAGUCGAACGCUCGAGAUCCUCUCGAGANGGGAGAGUGAUUUGCUUNAAGUANAUNGCCCA
RNAcentral lists this unclassified non-coding RNA (277 nucleotides) under Melaleuca nodosa. Lineage: Eukaryota; Viridiplantae; Streptophyta; Magnoliopsida; Myrtales; Myrtaceae. The record is from RNAcentral.